Molecule: ribosomal RNA, 449 nt
Filed under: uncultured bacterium
Lineage: Bacteria
Description: partial 16S ribosomal RNA
Rfam family: Bacterial small subunit ribosomal RNA
Source: RNAcentral
AAUGAACGCUGGCGGCAGGCCUAACACAUGCAAGUCGAACGGAUCCUUCGGGAUUAGUGGCGGACGGGUGAGUAACGCGUGGGAACGUGCCCUUUGGUUCGGAAUAGCCUCGGGAAACUGGGAGUAAUACCGGAUAAGCCCUUCGGGGGAAAGAUUUAUCGCCAAAGGAUCGGCCCGCGUUGGAUUAGGUAGUUGGUGGGGUAAUGGCCUACCAAGCCGACGAUCCAUAGCUGGUUUGAGAGGAUGAUCAGCCACACUGGGACUGAGACACGGCCCAGACUCCUACGGGAGGCAGCAGUGGGGAAUCUUAGACAAUGGGGGAAACCCUGAUCUAGCCAUGCCGCGUGAUCGAUGAAGGCCUUAGGGUUGUAAAGAUCUUUCAGUUGGGAAGAUAAUGACGGUACCAACAGAAGAAGCCCCGGCUAACUCCGUGCCAGCAGCCGCCGCUG